This 1242-nucleotide ribosomal RNA is filed under the name metagenome. RNAcentral's name for it is "bacterial LSU rRNA". It matches the Rfam family "Bacterial large subunit ribosomal RNA", at positions 1564 to 2816 of the family's 2925-position model. The record is from RNAcentral.
UGAAUACGAGACGCUAAGGCGUCGAAGUAGUGUAUGUCAUACUUCCAAGAAAAGCUUGCACUGUCAUAGAUAAAAAACGCCUGUACCAUAACCGACACAGGUGGGUAGGUAGAGUAUACUAAGGGGCGCGAGAUAACUCUCUCUAAGGAACUCGGCAAAAUAACUCCGUAACUUCGGGAGAAGGAGUGCCUUAUUCGUAAGGUUGCAAUAACAAGAUCCAAGCAACUGUUUAUCAAAAACACAGGUCUCCGCUAAGUCGUAAGACGAUGUAUGGGGGCUGACGCCUGCCCAGUGCCAGAAGGUUAAAGAAGUUGGUUAGCAAUUGCGAAGCUGAUAACUGAAGCCCUGGUGAACGGCGGCCGUAACCAUAACGGUCCUAAGGUAGCGAAAUUCCUUGUCGGGUAAGUUCCGACCCGCACGAAAGGCGUAAUGAUUUGGAUACUGUCUCGGAGAGGGGCUCGGUGAAAUAGACUUGUCUGUGAAGAUGCGGACUACCUGCACCAGGACAGAAAGACCCUAUGAAGCUUUACUGUAACUUGAAAUUGAAAUUGGACUUUAUUCGCGCAGUAUAGGUGGGAGGCGUUGAUUAUAAUCUUGUGGGAUUAUUGGAGCCAUCAGUGAGAUACCACUCUUGUAAUGUUAGAUUUCUAACUUUGAAUCAUUAUCUGGUCAAAGAACAGUUUCAGGCGGGCAGUUUGACUGGGGCGGUCGCCUCCUAAACGGUAACGGAGGCGUACAAAGGUUUCCUCUGAACGGUUAGAAAUCGUAUCUAGAGUGUAAAGGCAUAAGGAAGCUUGACUGUGAGACCUACAAGUCGAGCAGGGACGAAAGUCGGUCUUAGUGAUCUGACGGUACUGAGUGGAAAGGCCGUCACUCAACGGAUAAAAGUUACUCUAGGAUAACAGGCUGAUCUCCCCCAAGAGUUCACAUCGACGGGGAGGUUUGGCACCUUGAUGUCGGCUCAUCGCAUCCUGGGGCGGUAGUACGUCCCAAGGGUUGGGCUGUUCGCCCAUGAAAGCGGUACGCGAGCUGGGUUCAGAACGUCGUGAGACAGUUCGGUCCAUAUCCGGUGUAGGCGUUAGAAUAUUGAGAGGAGCCUUCUUUAGUACGAGAGGACCGAGAAGGACAUACCUCUGGUGUACCAGUUAUCGUGCCAACGGUAAACGCUGGGUAGCUAUGUAUGGAGUGGAUAACCGCUGAAAGCAUCUAAGUGGGAAGCCCACCUCAAGAUAAGUAUUCUCA